AUGCUCACAUGGACAGCACAUAUGCUAAAAUUGGAACAACACAAAGAUUGGGAUGGCCCCUGUGCAAAGAUGACACGCAAAUUUGUGAAGCGUUCCAUAUUUUU
This is a small nuclear RNA of Otolemur garnettii (small-eared galago), 104 nucleotides long. The record is from Ensembl. Lineage: Eukaryota; Metazoa; Chordata; Mammalia; Primates; Galagidae.